RNAcentral lists this ribosomal RNA (1528 nucleotides) under metagenome. RNAcentral describes it as "bacterial SSU rRNA". It matches the Rfam family "Bacterial small subunit ribosomal RNA". The record is from RNAcentral.
AGAGUUUGAUCCUGGCUCAGAAUGAACGCUGGCGGCGUGCUUAACACAUGCAAGUCGCACGAGAACGCUUCAGCUUGCUGAAGUUAGUAAAGUGGCGCACGGGUGAGUAACGCGUGGGUAAUCUACCCCCGAAUUGGGGAUAACAUCGCGAAAGCGAUGCUAAUACCGAAUGAUAUCUUGAAAACUCUGUUUUCUGGAUUAAAGAUGGCCUCUACAUGUAAGCUAUUGUUUGGGGAUGAGCCCGCGUACCAUUAGCUUGUUGGUAGGGUAAUGGCCUACCAAGGCAACGAUGGUUAGCUGGUCUGAGAGGAUGAUCAGCCACACUGGAACUGACACACGGUCCAGACUCCUACGGGAGGCAGCAGUGAGGAAUUUUGCGCAAUGGGGGAAACCCUGACGCAGCAACGCCGCGUGAGUGAUGAAGGCUUUCGGGUCGUAAAGCUCUGUCAAGUGGGAAGAAACCAUAUGGUAUUAAUACCGCCAUAUGUUGACGGUACCAUUGAAGGAAGCACCGGCUAACUCCGUGCCAGCAGCCGCGGUAAUACGGGGGGUGCGAGCGUUAUUCGGAUUUACUGGGCGUAAAGAGCGCGUAGGCGGUCUUUUAAGUCAGGUGUGAAAGCCCGGGGCUCAACCCCGGAAGUGCACUUGAAACUAAGAGACUUGAGUAUGGGAGAGGGAAAUGGAAUUCCUGGUGUAGCGGUGAAAUCCGUAGAUAUCAGGAAGAACACCGAUGGCGAAGGCAAGCUUCUAGCCAUAGACUGACGCUGAGGCGCGAAAGCGUGGGGAGCGAACAGGAUUAGAUACCCUGGUAGUCCACGCUGUAAACGAUGUGCACUGGGUGUAGGAGACGUUGAGUUUUCUGUGCCGUAGCUAACGCGUUAAGUGCACCGCCUGGGGAGUAUGCUCGCAAGGGUGAAACUCAAAGGAAUUGACGGGGGCCCGCACAAGCGGUGGGGCAUGUGGUUUAAUUCGAUCGAUACGCGAGGAACCUUACCAGGGCUUGACAUGUACCUGAAGGCUAAAGAGAUUAAGUCGACCUUUAGGGGACGGGUACACAGGUGCUGCAUGGCUGUCGUCAGCUCGUGUCGUGAGAUGUUGGGUUAAGUCCCGCAACGAGCGCAACCCUUACUGUCUGUUACCAGCAGGUCUUCGGACGCUGGGGACUCAGAUAGAACUGCCGGUGACAAACCGGAGGAAGGUGGGGAUGACGUCAAGUCAUCAUGGCCCUUAUGUCCUGGGCUACACACGUGCUACAAUGGUCGGUACAAAGCGUUGCGAGACGGUGACGUCCUUAGCAAAUCGCAAAAAGCCGAUCUCAGUUCGGAUUGGAGUCUGAAACCCGACUCCAUGAAGUUGGAAUCGCUAGUAAUCGCGCAUCAGAAUGGCGCGGUGAAUAUGUUCCCGGGCCUUGUACACACCGCCCGUCACACCACCCGAGUUGGGGGUACCCGAAGUCGCUAGUCUAACUCCUUGGAGAGGACGGUGCCGAAGGUAUGCCUGGUAAGGGGGGUGAAGUCGUAACAAGGUA